Molecule: non-coding RNA, 306 nt
Organism: Peromyscus maniculatus bairdii (prairie deer mouse)
Lineage: Eukaryota; Metazoa; Chordata; Mammalia; Rodentia; Cricetidae
Source: RefSeq, a predicted model, not a curated record
UGCAACCCCUGCCUUUGUGUGCUGCUUUGUGCCUGGCAUGCAGUAGAGUAAAAGGGGCACGUGGGGAUUAGUGGCCGGUCAGCCUAAGUGUCCCACAAAUGGCAGCCGCUGUUUCUGCAUAAAAUAUCAAUAUGAACAAUUCACCUUUCCCCUCCCCUGCUUCAUCACUAACAAGUAGGAUUUCUGGUUUGCUCUAGGGCCUUUUUUCCUAUUUCACUCAAUGGAACUCCUGCAGGCCUUGGGAGGGGCUGGGUGAAGAACAACUGGAUGGAAUUCAGCCUGCAGGGUCCAUGGGCACUGAAGAAU